GAAAGCGUCUUUUCAAUUAGAACAGUCGCGCGGUUUCAGUUUGAUUGAACAGCAAAUCAUAUCGUCUGACGCAAGAAGUUGUUAAUACUUUUUCUUUAGUAUUGAAUUUAGGUGGAAAAAAGAAAGUCAAUUAUUGUUUAGUUUUGUAAAUUUAUUGCGCCGACAAAAUGAAUCACCAUUUCAUCUAUUGCACACUAACGAUAGCUCUUAUCACCAGUCCGUCACUUGUUGCCUCCAGAAGCAAAACGUGGCCGCCUCUGCUCGGUCGCGGGGUAGGGGGAGGGGAAGUCGGAGAGGACCAAGAUGACUCCUCGGACAUACUCUGGAACAUUCCCCCCUAUUUCAACCCAGGCGAUAUUCCACCCGAAGACUACGUUGAGUGGUGGGUUCAGCAAAAGAGACCCUCCCUCAGUUUAAGCAUGCACCCGGGCGAAUACAGAGUGAACAAAAAACUUAAAGAAGAAUUUACACCACAGCCGACGUAUUCGACUUUAUUCGAUAGGAAAGGACAUCUUAUGGGCCAUCAUACUUGGAUCAAUCACGAACAUAGUCACUAACCCCCAACCCCCCUCCCUCCCACCCGAAGAUUCAGGCAGCCGUAUCGUUUGAGAAAUAUUGAGGAAAGAAGAAAACUUGCAUCUUUUAAACUCGCGAGACGUGAAAAAUGUUUUGUUUUCCUGCCACGAAAAACGUUUACACGGCACUUGAGGCUUUGAUAUAAAAUCUACUCAGAUUAGAUGAAAAAUCAUACCACCACCAAUUUUAUUUCAAAUUUAAUGAGCUGCGUAUUUUACUCUGCAUGUCCUUUGGACAGAAGUUAAUUGAAUAUUUC
This is a long non-coding RNA of Symsagittifera roscoffensis, 832 nucleotides long. RefSeq lists it as uncharacterized. Lineage: Eukaryota; Metazoa; Xenacoelomorpha; Acoela; Convolutidae. The record is from RefSeq and is a predicted model, not a curated record. The transcript has 3 exons.